CCGCUCCCCGGCCAUGGCCGCCUCCCCGGGCUCCGGCGCCGCCAACCCGCGGAAGUUCAGCGAGAAGAUCGCGCUGCACACGCAGCGCCAGGCCGAGGAGACCCGCGCCUUCGAGCAGCUCAUGACCGACCUCACCGUGUCCCGGGUUCAGUUCCAGAAGCUCCAGCAGCUGCGCCUCACGCAGACGCGGAACCAGUACCACGGGGGGUCUCUGCCCAACGUCAACCAGCUGGGCGGCGGCGCCGCCGACUUCCAGCCGUCCUUCCCCCCGGCCGACAACGUCCGUGGCACGCGGCACCACGGCUUGGUGGAGAGAGCCUCCCGCAGCCGUUUCCACCCUCUGCACCGCCGGCCCGGAGAGAAGCCAGGACGGCAGUUUGAUGGAAUCACCUACGGAUCCGGCUACCCCUCCUCCCAGCCGCCGGACGAGGGCUGGUCGAGGCAGCCACCGCCGUGGAAGGAAGACAAGCCGCCGGGAUUCCGGCUGAUGUCGGCGCUGAACAGGACCAACUCAGACUCGGCCCUCCACACCAGCGCGCUGAGCGCCAAGCCGCAGGACCCUUACAGCGGGGCGGACCAGGCGGCCUGGCCUCCCGCCCAGUGCAUGGUGGGUUUGUGCGACGGCGAGAGCGAUGGAUACAGGGAAGCCGCUUCCUUCCCCGGCCCCCUGAGAGAGGACGGUCUGCUGAACGCACCCAAGCCGUUGCCCAAGCAGCUGUGGGACGCCAAGAAGGUCCAGUCCCUGGCUGCUCGUCCGAGGUCCUGCGAAAUGGGGGGCGUCAACUCCCUGCCCCCGGCCGGGGACCCGCGGCUACCUUCCUCCGGCGCCGGCCCCGGCCCCGGCCCGAGCUCAGGGCUCUCGCCCUUCCUGGGGAUCCCGAACACCGGCGGGUCCCUGCCCGACCUGACCAACCUGCACUUCUCGCCGCUGCCUGCAUCCCUGGAGCCCGGCGGGGUCGGGCUCGGGGGCAUCGGGGCAGGGCACAGCGUGGGCAACCUGCCGGCCGCUACGACUCACCUGGGGCUCCGGAGUUCUCCAGGUCUGCAGAGCUCCCGGAGUAACCCGUCCAUCCAGGCCACCCUGAGCAAGGCCGCCCUGUCGUCCUCCCUCAGCAGCUGCCCGCAGCCCGCCGCCCCCCACGCCUCCGCCCUGCACCCCUCGCUCCGCCUGUUCUCCCUCAGCAACCCUUCCCUUCCCACUUCCGGCGGCAGCGGCCCCGCGCGGCGGCGCCAGCCCCCCGUCAGCCCGCUCACCCUCUCCCCGGGCCCCGACUCGCACCGUGGGUUCGCCAGGCAGUUCUCGGCCUCCGCCAGCCCUCUCCACCCGCUCCCCGGCCCCCAGGUUUUUCCCUCCGACAGAAGCCCCCUUUCCUUCCUCCCCCCGGAAGCCCCCGCCCCGCCCCCCCCUUACCCUCUGGGCCAGGAGUUCUCCCAGCAUCCCCUGCAGCAGCCCCCCCCGUCCUCCCCGCUGCCCCACUCGGACUUCGAGCUCCUCUCCCCCCACGGCACUUCUCUCAGCAGCUUCUUCCCCGACGUGGGCUAUGACCACCACCACCAGCAGCAGCAGCAGCAGCAGCAGCAGCAGCAGCAGCAGCCCGGAAGAAUGGGGCCGGCAUUCGCUCAGCAGGGCGCCGUGAUGGAGCAGGGGGGGAGUUCCGGAGCGCUGCAGGACUCGUUCCAGCUGCGACCAAACUUCCUGUAUUCCAGCUGUGGGAAUUUCCCCCACACCAUCCUCCCAGGUGGGUCCUGGGCGCCGCCGCCGGCAACGUGGCUUAAUGAAGACGCCAGCACCGGCCUGUUCAGAGACCUCAGCUGUGCCCUGGCGGGGGUGCCCGCGUCCUCCUUUGCCCCAGACGGUCCAUUUCCCCUGGACGAGGGGCUCCAGAUCGAGCCCCUGAGCUUGGACGGACUCAGCAUGCUGAGUGACCCCGACAUGGGGCUGCCCGACCCCUCGGUGGAAGAGACGUUCCGCUCUGACCGGCUGUGACCGGAGCUCUGGCCGGGGGGCCGCGGCCGCCCGGACCCGGGGGCGGUGGGGGGCCGCCCUCGCUUCGAGAACGGCUAGGAUCUCGUCCCCGAGCCCCCGGAACAGUCCGCUGUGAAAGCGAGCGGCCCGGCGGCGCCCGGCGGUUCCCGCGGACCCGUCGGCGGCCCCGCUGGCCGCCCCUCCGAGGUCACGCGUGGAGCGACGGAGAACAACCACUGACUGUGAAGAACGCCGGCGUGGGGGCUCGGGCCGGGGGUGACGGCCGAGGUGGGGGGCGGGGGCUCCGCUCUGGUACCCGGAGCCCGAGACCUCCCCGCCCCGUCGGGCCCCGUCGGGGGGGAUGCCGCUCCGGGACCCGGAGCCCGGGGCUCCGCUGACGGGCCGCUCCCGCGGUACCGGAGCCCCGGACCCUGCCGGUGGCACGUCGUCCCGGUCCCCGGAGCUGGCUGGGGGCGGGGAGGUAGCGGGGGGUGAAGGGCCCCGAACCUGAGCCGAAGCUGAAGCAGGGCUUCCAGCCUGGCAGCCGGGGGUGCCCGCCCGGUCCCCUUGCGGCCGUCCCGGGGGCCCCCCGCCGUGGCUACGGAGCCGGGCACCAGGAGCAUCCCGGGUCCCCGGAGGGGACGGGGGCGGCAGGUUUCCUCUCUGCCGGGUCAGGUAGGGCCGGGCGGGGCGGGGCGGGAGGGCCCCUGGGCUCUCUCCCGGCUCCCUCUUCUCGGCCCCGGGCCUCCGCUGGCUGGGAGUGGCGAUCCCACACCUCCGGUGGCCCGGCCCCCCGGCCCCUCCCCCCCUUCUUCCCCUCCCCCCCCGCCCUCCUAGCCUUCGCAGCACUUUCAGCCCGUCGGUAAGUGGCACUUUACCCUCGGGUCCUGGGGUGCCAGGGGGUCGAACUCUGGCUUGGGUUUGUCCCCGGGGCCCCGCGGGCCCACGUCCAGCACAAGUCCCGGGAGGACCGUCUCCUCCCUCCGCGCCCCCCCGCCCCCCCCCCCCCCCAAAGUGCCUCAACCACCCUGAGUGGGAAGUGCCUGUGGCCGAGGACGCUGGCAGAGAUCGAACCGGUCGUGGGCAGCGCGAGGGCCCCCGGCCCUAGCGUGCCCCCGCUCCUCGGACCCGAAGAGAUGUUUUUAAUCCUAGAAUCUGUGAACCGGCCAGGCCCGCCCCUCCCCGCCUCCCUCCCCUCUCCUCCCCGUCUCGGGGCCGGCCCUCCGGGUCCGGCCCGGACAGGCGGCGGCCCCUUAAAAGAAGGUCUUCCCUCGCCCGCCCGCCUCGCGUCCCUCCGAGCUGGCUCCCUCGGGUGGGUCCGUGGUCGGUUCACACUCCGCGGCGGAGCCGGCGCGGCUUCCCUCCUCCCCGCCCUCGGCCGGCCGCCGUGCGGUCCCGGCCGGAGUAGGUCAAGCGCCUCGAUGGGGGUCUGCCCCCACCCCCGGCAUCGGGUCGGGCCCGGGCUGCCCGUCACCCCGGCCGAAAGGGGUCACCGGCCCGCUGCCGUGCGCCCUUUCGGCCGGGAAGCGGGGUUGGGCGGGGGCCCCGGCGCCUCUCUGCCCCGGGACCCCCGUCUCCCCCGCGGGCCCGCGCCCGCGGCCUGGCAGGCGGUGGCCGCGGGGGUCGGAAAGGCGGCGCCCGGCAGCAGAGCGGACGCCCGAGCUCAGCACUGAACCUCCCUCCCCCCAGGCGGGGCCCCCCACUCUCAGAGAGUCUCGGGCAUUAGAAACCCAGCUGCCGCCCCGGGCUCGAGCCCGCCGGCCCCGCUCUCUGCCCGCGGAAACCCCACCAACACUACGCGCUUCCGUCCGGCCCCCCUCCCCUGCGCGUCUCAAGUGGCCUCCCGCUGCCCAGCGGGCCGUGGCCCACACCCAGCGGUGUGAAAAGCGAUCAUGUAAUCUGCUCCUCUCAACUAGCACUUCCGGUAUAGAACUAAAACGCCCAUCUGUCCGCCUGCCCGCCUCCUUCCUUCCACCCCUUCCCUCCGCUCCCGAGGCCGCAGCGGGCGGGACGCGCGGCGCCGGCCGGACCCUCCGCCGCGGAGCCCGAUUCCUCGUGGGGGCCGGGCCUGCCGUCCCCCCUCCGUCUACUCAGACCCAUGUGCACGGGUAACGGAGGGAGAAUGGAGUGGGGAGAGGAGAGGCCAAACCGAGGAGAGCUUCCCAGAGGAGACGUUCUGAGCCGAGACAGGCGGGAUCGCCGACAGAUUUCGCGGAGGCCCGGGAGGACGGGCCUACCCCGAGAGGAGGCGGCGGGGCGGCCCCAGCGGAGCCCGGACCACCUAACGGGAGUGGCCCGGUGGCGAAGAGCCCGUCUGCUUCUGCCCUACCACUUGCGGCUGCCGUCAGAGCAGAGUAGGGGGCCGCGGGGGGCAAGGGGAGGUGGGUGGUGGACCCUGACGUAGGGGGCCUGCUCCCUGGGCUGCCGACCCCCCCGUCCUCCCCCACUCCCACCCUUCCUCCCUAGCGGGGGCAGGGAGCUACUCCUCUCAGCCUCCUUACUCAGGGCCACCGGGCCCCUCCCGCUCUGAAAGAGUCCCACCCCCUCUCUGGGCCUCAGUUUCCCUUUUCUAUGGCAUUUGUUAAGCGCUUGCUAUCUG
RNA transcript from Ornithorhynchus anatinus (platypus), 4565 nucleotides. It is a transcript of the gene named CREB regulated transcription coactivator 3, with no coding region annotated. The transcript has 17 exons. NCBI's taxonomy places the organism in Eukaryota, Metazoa, Chordata, Mammalia, Monotremata, Ornithorhynchidae. The record is from RefSeq and is a predicted model, not a curated record.